AUUGAACGCUGGCGGCAGGCCUAACACAUGCAAGUCGAGCGCGAAAGUUCUUCGGAAUGAGUAAAGCGGCGGACGGGUGAGUAAUACAUGGGAAUCUGCCUGGUAGUGGGGGACAACGUUUCAAAAGGAACGCUAAUACCGCAUACGCCCUACGGGGAAAGGGGGGGAUCUUCGGACCUCUCGCUAUCAGAUGAGCCCAU
RNAcentral lists this ribosomal RNA (200 nucleotides) under uncultured bacterium. RNAcentral describes it as "partial 16S ribosomal RNA". It matches the Rfam family "Bacterial small subunit ribosomal RNA", at positions 30 to 234 of the family's 1533-position model. The record is from RNAcentral.